RNAcentral lists this ribosomal RNA (497 nucleotides) under uncultured bacterium. Its description in RNAcentral is "partial 16S ribosomal RNA". It matches the Rfam family "Bacterial small subunit ribosomal RNA", at positions 29 to 507 of the family's 1533-position model. The record is from RNAcentral.
AAUGAACGCUGGCGGCGUGCCUAAUACAUGCAAGUCGAGCGGCCGGACGAUAAGCUUUCUUCUCUAAUGUUGGCGGCUGGCGGGUGAGUGACACGUACAUCACCAUCUUCUAUUUCGGGGAGGACUUCGGGGAACAGGAGAUGAUAACAGCUCAUAUUUUGAACCGCAUAAAUCAGAGGUUAUACACGGUCUUCGUGACACAUAUAGACGAUUUCGUGCUGCAUUAGUUAGUUGGUAAAGUAACGGCUCACCAAGGCAACGAUGCAUAGCCGACCUGAGAGGGUGAUCGGCCACACUGGAACUGAGACACGGUCCAGACUCCUACGGGAGGCAGCAGUAGGGAAUCUUCCGCAAUGGGCGAAAGCCUGACGCAGCAAUGCCGCGUGAGUGAUGAAGGUCUUCGGAUCGUAAAACUCUUUUAUUAGGGAAGAAAAUAUGUGUAAUUAACUGCGCACAUCUUGACGGUACCUAAUCAGAAAGCCACGGCUAACUUCGUG